This 824-nucleotide ribosomal RNA is filed under the name uncultured bacterium. RNAcentral describes it as "bacterial SSU rRNA". It matches the Rfam family "Bacterial small subunit ribosomal RNA", at positions 65 to 881 of the family's 1533-position model. The record is from RNAcentral.
AGGGGCAGCGGGAUUGAAGCUUGCUUCAAUUGCCGGCGACCGGCGCACGGGUGAGUAACGCGUAUCCAACCUUCCGUACACUCAGGGAUAGCCUUUCGAAAGAAAGAUUAAUACCUGAUGGUAUGAUGAGAUUGCAUGAUAGCAUCAUUAAAGAUUUAUCGGUGUACGAUGGGGAUGCGUUCCAUUAGGUAGUAGGCGGGGUAACGGCCCACCUAGCCAACGAUGGAUAGGGGUUCUGAGAGGAAGGUCCCCCACAUUGGAACUGAGACACGGUCCAAACUCCUACGGGAGGCAGCAGUGAGGAAUAUUGGUCAAUGGACGAGAGUCUGAACCAGCCAAGUAGCGUGAAGGAUGAAGGUCCUACGGAUUGUAAACUUCUUUUAUAAGGGAAUAAACCCUCCCACGUGUGGGAGCUUGUAUGUACCUUAUGAAUAAGCAUCGGCUAACUCCGUGCCAGCAGCCGCGGUAAUACGGAGGAUGCGAGCGUUAUCCGGAUUUAUUGGGUUUAAAGGGAGCGCAGACGGGUCGUUAAGUCAGCUGUGAAAGUUUGGGGCUCAACCUUAAAAUUGCAGUUGAUACUGGCGUCCUUGAGUGCGGUUGAGGUGUGCGGAAUUCGUGGUGUAGCGGUGAAAUGCUUAGAUAUCACGAAGAACUCCGAUUGCGAAGGCAGCACACUAAUCCGUAACUGACGUUCAUACUCGAAAGUGUGGGUAUCAAACAGGAUUAGAUACCCUGGUAGUCCACACGGUAAACGAUGGAUACUCGCUGUUGGCGAUAUACUGUCAGCGGCUUAGCGAAAGCGUUAAGUAUCCCACCUGGGGAGU